GAAAUAUUAAAAGUAAGCUUCUAACUUAAUUUCUAAGCGAUUACAAUCGUUUAUAUUUCU
Molecule: transfer RNA, 60 nt
Filed under: Stilpnonotus mexicanus
Lineage: Eukaryota; Metazoa; Arthropoda; Insecta; Coleoptera; Mycteridae
Description: tRNA-Ser
Source: RNAcentral